GCUUACGGCCACACCGGCCUGAGUACGCCUGAUCUCGUCCGAUCUCGGAAGCUAAGCAGGGUCGGGCCUGGUUAGUACUUGGAUGGAGAGACCGCCUGGGAAUACCAGGUGCUGUAAGCU
RNAcentral lists this ribosomal RNA (120 nucleotides) under Oncorhynchus mykiss (rainbow trout). The record is from RNAcentral. Lineage: Eukaryota; Metazoa; Chordata; Actinopteri; Salmoniformes; Salmonidae.